GACGAACGCUGGCGGCGUGCUUAACACAUGCAAGUCGAACGGAAAGGCCCUGCUUUUGUGGGGUGCUCGAGUGGCGAACGGGUGAGUAACACGUGAGUAACCUGCCCUUGACUUUAGGAUAACUUCAGGAAACUGGGGCUAAUACCGGAUAGGAGCUCCUGCUGCAUGGUGGGGGUUGGAAAGUUUCGGCGGUUGGGGAUGGACUCGCGGCUUAUCAGCUUGUUGGUGGGGUAGUGGCUUACCAAGGCUUUGACGGGUAGCCGGCCUGAGAGGGUGACCGGCCAAAUGGGGAAUGAGAUACGGCCCAGACCCCUACGUGGGGAAGGAGGGGGGAAUAUUGCAAAAGGGGGGGAAGCCUGAUGCAGAAACGCCGGGGGGGGGAUGACGGCCUUGGGGUUGUAAACCGCUUUCGCAGGGGACGAAGCGGGAGUGACGGUAAGGGGAAAAGAAGCACCGGCUAAAUACGU
RNAcentral lists this ribosomal RNA (467 nucleotides) under uncultured bacterium. Its description in RNAcentral is "partial 16S ribosomal RNA". It matches the Rfam family "Bacterial small subunit ribosomal RNA", at positions 28 to 506 of the family's 1533-position model. The record is from RNAcentral.